GGAGGAUUGGCCGAGUGGUAAGGCACCGGUUUGCUAAACCGUGGUCGGGUCUCAAAGGCCCGCGCACGUUCGAUCCGUGCAUCCUCCGCCG
Molecule: transfer RNA, 91 nt
Filed under: Streptomyces sp. 46
Lineage: Bacteria; Bacillati; Actinomycetota; Actinomycetes; Kitasatosporales; Streptomycetaceae
Description: tRNA-Ser
Rfam family: tRNA
About the family: Transfer RNA (tRNA) molecules are approximately 80 nucleotides in length. Their secondary structure includes four short double-helical elements and three loops (D, anti-codon, and T loops). Further hydrogen bonds mediate the characteristic L-shaped molecular structure. tRNAs have two regions of fundamental functional importance: the anti-codon, which is responsible for specific mRNA codon recognition, and the 3' end, to which the tRNAs corresponding amino acid is attached (by aminoacyl-tRNA synthetases). tRNAs cope with the degeneracy of the genetic code in two manners: having more than one tRNA (with a specific anti-codon) for a particular amino acid; and 'wobble' base-pairing, i.e. permitting non-standard base-pairing at the 3rd anti-codon position.
Source: RNAcentral